This 748-nucleotide long non-coding RNA is filed under the name Carica papaya (papaya). RNAcentral's name for it is "long non-coding RNA (CPAP_LNC013037)". Lineage: Eukaryota; Viridiplantae; Streptophyta; Magnoliopsida; Brassicales; Caricaceae. The record is from RNAcentral.
UAGGCAUAAGCAUGUCGAGGGACCUUAACAGAAGCCCACUGGGCCUUGUACCUAGUAAGGGAGAUUCCUCUCUCGUGUUGUACAAUUUGGACAUAAUGGGCCUUUGGGAAAAAAAUUGGAAAUUUAAUAAAAAGAAAUUAAAAAGUAACAACUGGUAUGGUUUUAGAAAUUGUAAGGAAAUAGUGAAGUAAAGUUAAUUUAGAAUAAAUUAAAAGAUGAUAAAAAUAAAAUAAUUAAGACAUUAAAAUUACAAACAAUAAAAGUUAAGUAAAAAUAAGUAAUAAAAUAUCCUUAAAAACCUAAAUGAAUAAUUAAUAAGAAUUCAAAACUUUAGUAAAUAAAUAGGGAAAAUUAACAUAAAACUUGGGAAAUUAAAUUAAGAAAAAUUUAAAAGAUCUAAAAUUUUAAUAACAAAGAGUUUUCUUUUAUCACUCAUUCAAAACAAAGUCUAUAAUCAUUGAAUAAUUUAUUAACCAGCACAAGUCAAAAUAUGUCACCAACAAGCAUUCAUACUAUCUUACGUUAUUCUUACUUUAUUUAUCUAAAAAGAGCACUUAAAAACAUAAAAAUAAAGUACUACGAAAUCUCUUACUGUAAUCGGAUUGACUUAGCCUUUUGGUAGCGAAGGAAAAGCUUUUAGAAAUCCACCGAACGAGUUUGUGAAACUCCAAACUUUUCAUUUCUUUCUUGCUCCUUAACUUUGUCAAAAGUUUCUCCUCUUUCUUUCUUUAAGAUUAAAAAAAUAAAG